Pteropus alecto (black flying fox) is the source of this 722-nucleotide long non-coding RNA. RefSeq lists it as uncharacterized. The transcript is spliced from 6 exons. The record is from RefSeq and is a predicted model, not a curated record. NCBI's taxonomy places the organism in Eukaryota, Metazoa, Chordata, Mammalia, Chiroptera, Pteropodidae.
AGAGAACAUAGAGGGAAGAAGUUGACUUGUGCUAGACAGUUUGGAAAUAAGACAAGUGAAUGAAGUUGUAGGAUUUCCAGUCUGUGGAAGCAUGUACCUCCGAAAAUGCCUGUCUGCUUUAGGGGAUUGAACCAUGUUGAUGAGAUUUCUGGUUUCAAGAACCAGAAAGGAGAGGCCAAGCAAGCUGAGAUGUUGAGGAGGCACCUGGAGGAGUUGUGUCUGCCCAACCUGCCUGUGCCCAGGCAGGAGUAAUUCAUGCUGUUAUGAGGCUUGGUGUGAAGCUGCAUAUCCUGUACUUAGUACAUGGUGAGCACUGAGCCACUGCCACUAAUUGUCCCUCCUGCAGAAGAAGUGACUGUGGCUAGAUCCUCUUCUUGUUAUUGGGAUAAAGACUCAAUCCUGUCUGGUGAUUUCCGGCUCUUUUUUUGGAUUCUGUGGAAUAAAGGAACAAAAGGCUGAGUCUCCAGGAAUAACUCCCAGAACUCUGCAGGACUGGCCCACCAGGGGAGCCACUAUCUUUGCUAUGUGCAGGAAGGCCAGGAGCCACCAAUGGAGCAGCUGUGAUUAAAAAUUGCUGGAGCUGUUAGCCUGGAAUCAGGAAGCUUCCACUGGCAAAACUGGAAGAAAACUAUUUCUGAGAAACAUCCCACCAGGAUCCCCGUUAGGUUCUAUUGGCCAGGACAGGGAUGUCCCUAAACUAAAUCAUUAAAGAAUAAUGUUUG